CUCGUCCUCGUCUAUGUCCGGCAUACCAUAACUGCGACCCAUCGCCUCCUGCACCUCGUCCGCUUGUUCCAGCAUGUCGGCCAGGUCGUCUUGCAUGUCCUACACCGUUUCCGGACGGAUGCCCGGACGAAUAUAGUGGAUGAACGAGAAAAGACAACGCGAGACCAAAGACCCUCGUUUUGUGCUCAAACGCGGCAGCACCAAUCAGAAUCGCAGACUAAGAAGUCAUUGUUUCGACUGCCGCCUACGCUAGCUGCUAACUUGGCGAACUAAAAUCCAAUAUGGCUGCCCACCCGCAUACGCGUUUGGUGGACUGUGGUAGACCAUAUACCGAAGCAAUGCCAUUCCCGCUAUUCUAAGCGAAGCCAAGCUUUUGUUUUAGAUUCUUGUAAAUUGAUUCGUCCUAUCAUCGACAACAUAGCAGUAAAAGAAAAGUGCCCGAAAUCUUGCCUAUAGAGUCGAGAUCCUCUGUACACUGAAUUCUUGUCUUUUCUGUACACGCACUGUACACAUGCCGUGUCUAGUAGUAUAUGGUCUAAGAGUUAACCGACGCAUCGAAGCGACAUCUGUUACCCAGUAUGUAUAUACUUUGUGAUACAUAUACGACGACGAUCAAUCAUUGAAACGAUUAAAAUGCGUUCACGAAGGGAAAGAAUAAAUGUUCGUACUUUUUCGUUUAAAUAAAA
Long non-coding RNA from Megalopta genalis, 686 nucleotides. RefSeq lists it as uncharacterized. The record is from RefSeq and is a predicted model, not a curated record. NCBI's taxonomy places the organism in Eukaryota, Metazoa, Arthropoda, Insecta, Hymenoptera, Halictidae.